AACUUUUGGCAAUGGAUCUCUUGGCUCUCGCAUCGAUGAAGACCGCAGCGAAAUGCGAUAAGUAAUGUGAAUUGCAGAAUUCAGUGAAGCAUCGAAUCUUUGAACGCACCUUGCGCUCCUUGGUAUUCCGAGGAGCAUGCCUGUUUGAGGGCCAUUAAUAUAAAUAUCAGCCCUCUCUUGUUGAGUGGUUUGGAUGUGGGGGUUUGCUGGCCUCUUAAAGGGGGUUCAGCUCUCCUGAAAUGCAUUAGCAGAACAACCUGUUCAUUGGUGUGAUAACUAUCUACGCUAUUGAAUGUGAAGGGAAGUUCAGCUUUCUAACAGUCCUUGGACAAUUUACAUCAUUAAUGUGACCUCAAAUCAGGUAGGACUACCCGCUGAACUUAAGCAUAUCAAUAAGCGGAGGCU
This 405-nucleotide unclassified non-coding RNA is filed under the name uncultured Cortinarius. RNAcentral describes it as "sequence contains ITS2". The stretch from base 1 to 154 matches the Rfam family "5.8S ribosomal RNA". Lineage: Eukaryota; Fungi; Basidiomycota; Agaricomycetes; Agaricales; Cortinariaceae. The record is from RNAcentral.